Molecule: long non-coding RNA, 1726 nt
Organism: Papaver somniferum (opium poppy)
Lineage: Eukaryota; Viridiplantae; Streptophyta; Magnoliopsida; Ranunculales; Papaveraceae
Exons: 7
Source: RefSeq, a predicted model, not a curated record
GGUGAUUUUGCUCAUUGAUUCGAUUUAGUGAUGUUGUUUGUACUGUGCAGGAAAAUGGAAACUUGCUGUUUCGGACUUGCUUAAGGAUUCUAUUUCGAUUUUAGGAUUUUAGGGUUUGUUCAUCAUCUGUUACUAGGAUUUUAGGAUUUCAUAAAUCGAUUUAGGAUUUCAGGUUGUUAACCGAUUUUAGUGUUUCUUGUUCUAAUAUGAUUCUUUUUUUCGAUUUCAGUUUGUAAACCUGAAGAUGGGUUAAUUUCUCAGUUAAUUUCUCAGAUUUAUUUCCCUAACGUCUUCUUACUAUAUUUGAUUUUUCAGAUUUGGGUCUCUAGAGGUUUUAUUUGCUUAAUCUGAUUCUCUGUUUGUUCACAGAAGAAGGUGUAAUCAUCAUGUUCUCGAGGAUGUUUGGUAAUCCUAAAGAAGAAACUAAUGCCUUAACAACGUUGGAUAAAUUGAAUGGAAUUAGGUAUAUGGAGCUCUGCGAAUGUCUGUUAAAGUUUUCUUGAUGUUGAACUCCAAGAUACUAAUAGAUGGUGGUGCCGAUUCUCUUGUUGCAACAUCUCUGCUUGAGGCUAUUAACGUGGUUGUUCUUAACAUUGUUCACAAGUAUUGUUUCUUGUUCGGCUUAAUCUGCACUAGUUUGAGUUCGCCCUUGAUGCAUCUUUACCUGCAUGGUAAUUGAAGGAAUCUCUUUUGUUUAUGAGAAAGGACCCCAGCAGCACGUCUGACUUGUCGAACAAUAGUAGUCCAUCAAUUGAGCCAGCAAUGGAUUUGACUACUCCAGCAAGAAGCACUUCAGACGCGUCAAAGAAUGGUGGUCUAUCAAUUCAGCCCGCAGUUGUGGAUUCUCCUACUCCAGCUCCAGUAAGCUCCUUCGCCGCUACCACUUCAUUGGGCAUUGGUGGUACAAAAGUUUCUAUCGGGCAUGCUGCUUUUGGGAAUGUUGGAACAUCACCUUCUAGGUAACUAGUCUGUUUGAACUGUAUUACAGAAACACAGAACAAAGAUGAUGUGGACAAGAGGAUGGAUGAGAUUGAUGAUAAGACUGAGAACAUGAAGCAGGUUCAAGGAGCGUUGUCAAACCCCACUGGGGCAGCUGCUCACUUUGAUGAGGAUGAAUUGUAAUCUGAACUCGAGGAGUUGGAAGGAGCUCAGUUGGAGGAACAACUUUUACAACCUGCAACCCAAAGUCAGAUUCAAAUCAAGACUCAAGAGAAUUGCCCUACUACUAGCUUCUUUGGGUGUUAAAUUGGGAAGCCUUUGUUGUGAGAAGAAUCAUCUCCUAAUUAUCCAUCGAGGCCCGCACUUUCAUGUUCUCUUACGACUUUCAUCGGAUCUUUUGAUAUCUUCAUGUAGUUAACCAUCUAAAAUAGUGGGAUUGAUCCUGAUACAUUUAUGGGAGGGGGCUUAUACCCCUGAAAUCAUAUUCAAGCAAGAGGAUGCAUUAAAUGGCAGCCAUUAGGUCCCUUUGCAGCUGCAAGUUUUGAGUAAGUUUCUGCUUAUAGUGAUGUAGAGAAUGAACUGAACUUGGGAACUUAGUAGGUUUCCAUGGCUUUCUCAGAAUUUGAUACUUAACAUUAACAGAUUUUUUUUGGUAAGCAAUAGAAUUUCUAUUCCUUGUUUUCUUUUUUGAAUUGAUUGAUUGAAGAAUGUAUUGAAUGUGGAUUAUGGAUAGAAUGAAGAAAAGGGCUAUUGUAUUUCAGGCCUGUAAACUGGAAGCCCGGGUCCA